AGCGAACGCUGGCGGCAGGCUUAACACAUGCAAGUCGAGCGGGCACUUUCGGGUGUCAGCGGCGGACGGGUGCGUAACGCGUGGGAACGUGCCCUCUGGUUCGGAAUAACUCAGGGAAACUUGAGCUAAUACCGGAUACGCCCUUUUGGGGAAAGGCUUGCUGCCGGAGGAUCGGCCCGCGUCUGAUUAGCUAGUUGGUGAGGUAACGGCUCACCAAGGCGACGAUCAGUAGCUGGUCUGAGAGGAUGAUCAGCCACACCGGGACUGAGACACGGCCCAGACUCCUACGGGAGGCAGCAGUGGGGAAUAUUGGACAAUGGGCGCAAGCCUGAUCCAGCCAUGCCGCGUGAGUGAUGAAGGCCUUAGGGUUGUAAAGCUCUUUUAUCCGGGACGAUAAUGACGGUACCGGAGGAAUAAGCCCCGGCUAACUUCGUG
RNAcentral lists this ribosomal RNA (435 nucleotides) under uncultured bacterium. Its description in RNAcentral is "partial 16S ribosomal RNA". It matches the Rfam family "Bacterial small subunit ribosomal RNA", at positions 29 to 507 of the family's 1533-position model. The record is from RNAcentral.